Molecule: unclassified non-coding RNA, 2455 nt
Filed under: uncultured Bordetella sp.
Lineage: Bacteria; Pseudomonadati; Pseudomonadota; Betaproteobacteria; Burkholderiales; Alcaligenaceae
Description: partial 16S-23S ribosomal RNA intergenic spacer
Rfam family: Bacterial small subunit ribosomal RNA (bases 1-1384)
Source: RNAcentral
AGUUCGAUCAUGGCUCAGAUUGAACGCUGGCGGAUGCUUUACAUGCAAGUCGAACGGCAGCCUGGACUUCGGUCUGGUGGCGAGUGGCGAACAGGUGAGUAAUGUAUCGGAACGUGCCGAAGUAGCGGGGGAUAACUACGCGAAAGCGUAGCUAAUACCGCAUACGCCCUUCGGGGAAAAGCGGGGGGACCUUCGGGCCUCGCACACAAUGGAAGCGGCCGAUAUCGGAUUAGCUAGUUGGUGGGGUAACAGCUCACCAAGGCGACGAUCCGUAGCUGGUUUGAGAGGACGACCAGCCACACUGGGACUGAGACACGGCCCAGACUCCUACAGGGAGGCAGCGGUAAAUUUUGGACAAUGAAACCUGAUCCAGCCAUCCCGCGUGUGCGAUGAAGGCCUUCGGGUUGUAAAGCACUUUGGCGGGAAAGAAACGGCACGGGAUAUUACCCGUGCAACUGACAGCCUGCAGAAUAAGCACCGGCUAACUACGUGCCAGCAGCCGCGGUAAUACGUAGGGUGCAAGCGUUAAUCGGAAUUACUGGGCGUAAAGCGUGCGCAGGCGGUUCGGAAAGAAGAUACGAAAUCGAGGAAGCUUAACUUUGGAACUGCAUUUUUAACUACCGAGCUAGAGUGUGUCAGAAAUUGGAAUUCCGCGUGUAGCAGUGAAAUGCGUAGAUAUGCGGAGGGCACCGAUGGCGAAGGCAGCCUCCUGGGAUAACACUGACGCUCAUGCACGAAAGCGUGGGAGCAAACAGGAUUAGAUACCCUGGUAGUCCACGCCCUAAACGAUGUCAACUAGCUGUUGGGGCCUUCGGGCCUUGGUAGCGCAACUAACGCGUGAGAUUGACCGCCUGGGAUUACGGUCGCAAGAUUAAAACUCAAAGAAAUUGACGGGGACCCGCACAAGCGGUGGAUGAUGUGGAUUAAUUCGAUGCAACGCGAAAACCUUACCUACCGCCAGCGUGUCUGGAAUCCCGAAGAGAUUUGGGAGUGCUCGCAAGAGAACCGGAACACAGGUGCUGCAUGGCCGUCGUGGAACCAUUGUCGUGAGAUGUUGGGUUAAGUCCAUAACGAGCGCAACCCUUGUCAUUAGUUGCUACGAAAGGGCACUCUAAUGAGACUGCCGGUGACAAACCGGAGGAAGGUGGGGAUGACGUCAAGUCCUCAUGGCGCCUGGGUAGGGCUUCACACGUCAUACAAUGGUCGGGACAGAGGGUCGCCAACCCGCGAGGAGCCAAUCCCAGAAACCCGAUCGUAGUCCGGAUCGCAGUCUGCAACUCGACUGCGUGAAGUCGGAAUCGCUGGUAAUCGCGGAUCAGCAUGUCGCGGUGAAUACGUUCCCGGGUCUUGUACACGCGACUAACAGUCCGCGAUUACUAGCGAUUCCGACUUCACGCAGUCGAGUUGCAGACUGCGAUCCCAGACCACGAUCAGGUUUCGGGUUGGCACCUGUCCCGACCAUUGUAUGACGUGUGAGCCCCCGCCGGUAUGGCGGGCGCGGCGUCAUCCCCCCCGCUCCGGUUUUGUCACCGGCAUUAUUCGGUGGGGUGCCUUUCGCAACGGCUAAUGACGGGGUUGCGCUCGUUGCGGGACCCCCCCGUCGCCCGGCCGACGUUUUAGCCGCCGCCCCGCGGCCGCCUUCCCCGCGGCGUAAAUAACCGCCGAACCCGUAUUCGGGUAAAACGGAGUUUUUUCGCGUUGCGUCGGGGAGUCCCGUCCUCGUUUGUCCCCGGGGUCCCCCGUCGGCUCGCCCGGUAGUCCCCCCGCGACCCCGUAGUCCCGGGCGGUCCGGCCGCGCGCGUUAGCCGCCCGCGGGGCGAGGCCGGCAACCCGGAUUAAACGUGGACCUGACGUAGUCCUGUUUGCUUCCCCACUUCGUACAUGAGGCGUCGGUGUUAUCCCGGGAGAGGCUGCCUUCGCCAUCGGUGUUCCUCGCAUAUCUACGCGGUUCCCCCGCACGCGGGGCCCCCCCGCGACGGCGGCGAAAAUGCGGUUAGUUAAGCUCUGGGUUUCGCAUCUUCCGGGCCCGCCCCCCGCCCGGUAAUUCGGGGUUAGCGCCCGCCCCCCCCCGUAUUACCCGCCCUGCGUAAUUAGCCGGUUGUAUUCUGCAGGUACCCGUCAGUUGCACGGAGUGGCAUUUCUUUCCUGCCAAAAGGCGCCCCACGGCCCGGCUAUGCGCGGCGGAUCCCCCGCAUUAUUCCCCGCUCCGCGUAGUGUGUCUCAGUCUGGCUGUCGUCCUCUCAAACUACGGAUCGUCGCCUUGAUGGCCCAAUAAUCCGAUAUCGGCCCGUAAUAGUGCGGAAAUUUCCGGGGCUCCCCGCGAAAACGUAUGCCGUAUUAUACGCUUUCAAAAUGGUUAUCCCCUUUGCAUUACUCACCCGUUCGCCACUCGCCGCAGACCGAGUCCCGCUAACGCGUGACUUUGCGUAAGAGAAAUCUGAGCCAUGAUCGAACU